Molecule: ribosomal RNA, 324 nt
Filed under: Triticum aestivum (bread wheat)
Lineage: Eukaryota; Viridiplantae; Streptophyta; Magnoliopsida; Poales; Poaceae
Description: partial small subunit ribosomal RNA
Source: RNAcentral
AUGCCUGUAGCAACGCUCCCGAGGCUCGUUGCCGUGGCGGCGCUAGUCGCGCUGAUGUGCGCCGUUGCUGUGGGUCAGGUACCUGCCGCCGGUGGUGCGCCGGUGUGCGAGGGUGUCGAUCAGGACGUCGUGAAUGCGUGCUUCAAGAGCUUUGGAGAAGGUAUGAAAAAUGCCAUUGCAGACAGGCAUCUUUCGGGGGGUAAGGUCAUUAAGGUUGGAGUAGACUGCUGCAUAGCCUUUGGAGGCCACUCGUGCCUCUGCAAGAUGAAGAAGGCGUGGACUGCCCAGGAUAAUGUGCAGUGUGUCAGGGAAAAGGCAUGUUAG